This 74-nucleotide transfer RNA is filed under the name Anaerolineales bacterium. RNAcentral's name for it is "tRNA-Val". It matches the Rfam family "tRNA". From Rfam's summary of the family: Transfer RNA (tRNA) molecules are approximately 80 nucleotides in length. Their secondary structure includes four short double-helical elements and three loops (D, anti-codon, and T loops). RNAcentral also lists the same sequence under 4 other names. Lineage: Bacteria; Bacillati; Chloroflexota; Anaerolineae; Anaerolineales. The record is from RNAcentral.
GGACGGGUAGCUCAGUUGGUUAGAGCACUGCGUUGACAUCGCAGAGGUCGUAGGUUCGAGCCCUAUUCCGUCCA